UACAGAGGUGGCUAGCGUUGUUCGGAUUUAUUGGGCGUAAAGGGUCCGUAGGCGGCCCGGAAAGUCGGAUGUGAAAUCCCACAGCUCAACUGUGGAACUGCAUUCGAAACUCCCGGACUAGAGUGUGAGAGGGGUAAAGGGAAUUCCCGGUGUAAGGGUGAAAUCUGCAGAGAUCGGGAGGAACACCAGUCGCGAAGGCGCUUUACUGGCUCACUACUGACGCUCAGGGACGAAAGCUAGGGGAGCAAACGGG
Molecule: ribosomal RNA, 253 nt
Filed under: uncultured bacterium
Lineage: Bacteria
Description: partial 16S ribosomal RNA
Rfam family: Bacterial small subunit ribosomal RNA
Source: RNAcentral